RNAcentral lists this ribosomal RNA (83 nucleotides) under uncultured bacterium. RNAcentral describes it as "partial 16S ribosomal RNA". It matches the Rfam family "Bacterial small subunit ribosomal RNA", at positions 272 to 354 of the family's 1533-position model. The record is from RNAcentral.
GGCGACGAUGCGUAGGGGUUCUGAGAGGAAGGUCCCCCCACACUGGACUGAGACACGGACCAGACUCCUACGGGAGGCAGCAG